This 1469-nucleotide ribosomal RNA is filed under the name Triticum aestivum (bread wheat). RNAcentral's name for it is "partial small subunit ribosomal RNA". The record is from RNAcentral. Lineage: Eukaryota; Viridiplantae; Streptophyta; Magnoliopsida; Poales; Poaceae.
UGUGGUGAGGAGAAAGAGGGGCGCGUCGCUUGGGAUCGCGAGAGUGGGAGAGGGAGGGAGACCUAGGUGGCGGCGGCGUGUGUUGAGGAGGAAGACCUAGGUGGCAGCGGCGGGGGUUGGGGUGAGGGAGGGAGACCUAGAGCUGCACGGCGGCGGGGGAGUGUGAGAGUGGCGGCACCCGACCUCCACGUUGUGACCUAGGUCAGGUCCCGUGGUGGUAGUAUGUCGUGGUGGUGGUCGGCCGCAGCACCCACCCCACGACGCGGGCUGGUUCAGACGGGGGACGGAGGGGCACGGGCUGGCGAGCGAGGCGGAGUUGGAGCGGCAGAGGUUCCUGGACGCGGCGGCGGAGAUCCUAGUGCAGAAGCGCGAGUUCCUCCUGAGGUGCGACGGCGGGCAGCGUAGCUGGAGUAGUCCUAGAGAGGGCAGGGGAGGAGGGGAGCGUCGCCGGCGGGACGAGCGCAACAAGGUCGUCACCCCAGAGGCCACGCCGGGCUGCCACUUGGGCCCCGUGGGCACGCCCUGCGCCCUAACCUAGCUCAGGAAACGCGUCUUACGCAGGCAGCCGACGUCGACGCUGGCGACCGGGCACACGGCGUAGUGCGUGGACUUGUAGUGACCUAAGACCUUAGACUGGCUCUAGGGCGGCCUCGAGAAGUUGAGCUGCCUCGACCAGAGAGACAUGUUCCCCUUAAGCGACCGGGUCUACUCCUCGGUUUCGUUGUGGUUCAGUGUCAAAGUGUGCGGCGAAGAUUCCCCUCUAUACGUUCCAAAUUUCUCUUAAACUUACGGUUCGGUGACCUCUGCUUCGUUUUGGUGGUAGUUCAACGACAGAGUACGCGGCGAAGUUUUCCCUCGUUACAGCGAACUACUCAACUACAGCAAGUACUACACUACAAGACAUACGUAUAGUUCCACGGAUUGUUGAUGGUCGUCAAGUACUCGUAGGGCUGACGGGUACAAUUGAGGCGGAGGAUGAAGAGCUGCCUGCGACGUAGGAAGGGGCCGUCCGACCGUUACCGACGCACGGACGCGGGACGACGAAGGUGCGGCCACAGCCGGUGGCGCGGGUCAGCGGUACCGGUCGCCGUCGUCAGAGGAGCCGCCGGCCGUCACACGUCCACACGUGGGACCGUGACCCCUGACCUCCGCACGUUGUAUCUUCCGGUCGUCGAUCAUCGACUCGUCGACAUGUCUCGGCCUCUACCACCGGAGAUAAGUACUAAGCAGAACUCGAAAUCCUACUUCUUCAACCUUCUUCGUUACGUACGACCUAGAUCCGUACGUACGUACGAGAUCAUAGGGACGAAGACUUGGAUCGAUCCCUCCACGUACUGAAACAACAUUGCGACUAAAAAGACCCUUAAAACGACAUGACCACUAAAACGACUCUCAAACCACAUAUAAACGAACGGUGAUACAAAUGAACUUUAAAUAAAGACCUAACCUUUUAUAUAACCGUAACUUAG